AAGUCGUAACAAGGUUUCCGUAGGUGAACCUGCGGAAGGAUCAUUAACACGUACCUUUGGUACAAACAAACCGGAGAACGCGUAUAUGCCUCCCUGUCUAUACCUUUGGCGCCCCAUGAGCGGUGGUAAUGGCUCAUGGCCCGCACGGGAUAACCUGGCGAAAGCCUUCGAUUCCCACGUUGGUAUUCAGGCUGUUUUCAUUACUCGUAUUCAUUUACGAUCUCACCAUCUCAAAAUUGCCUGAUUUUUCUUUGCGUUAGUUUGGCAGCAAUGCCCUCGCAAACAACCUAAUAUAACCUAGCACAACUCUUAGCAAUGGAUAUCUAGGUUCUC
RNAcentral lists this unclassified non-coding RNA (333 nucleotides) under fungal sp. Its description in RNAcentral is "partial internal transcribed spacer region". The stretch from base 1 to 46 matches the Rfam family "Eukaryotic small subunit ribosomal RNA", at positions 1786 to 1831 of the family's 1831-position model. Lineage: Eukaryota; Fungi. The record is from RNAcentral.